UACGUAGGUGGCGAGCGUUGUCCGGAAUUAUUGGGCGUAAAGAGCUCGUAGGCGGUUUGUUGCGUCGGCUGUGAAAUCCCGAGGCUCAACCUCGGGUCUGCAGUCGAUACGAGCAAACUAGAGUGUUGCAGGGGAGACUGGAAUUCCUGGUGUAGCGGUGAAAUGCGCAGAUAUCAGGAGGAACACCGGUGGCGAAGGCGGGUCUCUGGGCAGUAACUGACGCUGAGGAGCGAAAGCGUGGGGAGCGAACCGG
This 253-nucleotide ribosomal RNA is filed under the name uncultured bacterium. RNAcentral describes it as "partial 16S ribosomal RNA". It matches the Rfam family "Bacterial small subunit ribosomal RNA", at positions 524 to 776 of the family's 1533-position model. The record is from RNAcentral.